RNA transcript from Mesoplodon densirostris (Blainville's beaked whale), 5094 nucleotides. It is a transcript of the gene named zinc fingers and homeoboxes 1, with no coding region annotated. NCBI's taxonomy places the organism in Eukaryota, Metazoa, Chordata, Mammalia, Artiodactyla, Ziphiidae. The transcript has 5 exons. The record is from RefSeq and is a predicted model, not a curated record.
CGGGGCUUCUGUUGACAGAGGGGCGGGACGGUUCCCUACCUCCCGCCGUGAGGCAGAGGCCCGCAGAGGACCGGGUCGAAUCCCAGGGGAGCAGGAGGAUCCGUGAGUGGAGAGCCAGGCGCGGAGCGGGGUGGGGGCGCGCGGAGGGCGCGCGCGCGCGCGCACGUGGGAGGGCGCCGCCUGGGCCGGCUCUUCCCCUCCCCCCGCUCCCGCCCCCGGUCGGCUGCUGGGGCGCGCGCCUCGCCUCGCACCCCCACCCCCGACUCCCUAAGCUCCACGGAGUUCGCAGAGCUUCCGAAGCCGUGAGCCGACCCGCCGAGCGGUUCCGGGUGUAGGGUUCACAGGUCAGAGUUGACUCCCUGAAGAGUGCAGCCGGUUUGAAAUGCAAGAUGGCGGCGGCGGGGCUCUGAGAGGCACGGCGGCCCCUGCAGGAGAUGGCAGAUAGGUACUUUGGACCUGUUGGUAAUGAUGGCCUGAGCUAAACAUCUCCUAAUUUGAGGGGACACCCUUCUGUGUCAAAGAACAGAAUGCGGAGGAAGCUAUGGCAAGUGAUUGGAGUUGUGCUUCAAAAAUUUCAGCAGUUCAGCAGUAUUUUAUUUGCCAACCAUAAGCUCUUUACUUGAUAGCACCAUGAAAAAGCUGCUAAUGAGACUUGUUGAGCACAAAGACAGACUUGAAGAACCAAAAGCCAUUGUUUUCAAAUGAAGAAUACUGAACAGUUUUAAGCCCCAAUGCUUUUUAAUCACCACUGAGAUUUCCCCCAUAACAUCAGAAUGGCAAGCAGGCGAAAAUCCACAACACCCUGCAUGGUCCUUGCCAGUGAACAGGAUCCAGACCUCGAGUUGAUAUCAGAUUUGGAUGAAGGUCCUCCUGUACUUACACCUGUAGAAAACACCAGAGCAGAGAGUAUCUCAAGUGAUGAAGAAGUUCAUGAAUCCGUGGACUCUGACAAUCAGCAAAAUAAAAAAGUUGAAGGUGGCUAUGAAUGUAAAUAUUGUACUUUUCAAACUCCAGAUCUAAAUAUGUUUACUUUUCAUGUGGAUUCAGAACAUCCCAAUGUAGUGCUAAACUCCUCCUAUGUUUGUGUCGAAUGCAAUUUUCUUACCAAAAGGUAUGAUGCACUUUCCGAGCAUAAUCUGAAAUAUCACCCAGGAGAAGAAAAUUUCAAGUUGACGAUGGUGAAACGAAAUAACCAGACAAUCUUUGAACAAACAAUAAAUGAUCUGACUUUUGAUGGUAGUUUUGUUAAAGAGGAGAAUUCAGAGCAAGCUGAAUCGACAGAAGUUUCUUCUUCGGGAAUAUCUAUCAGUAAAACUCCUAUCAUGAAAAUGAUGAAAAAUAAAGUGGAGAACAAACGGAUUACAGUUCAUCAUAAUUCAGUUGAGGACGUUCCGGAAGAGAAAGAGAAUGAAAUCAAACCAGACCGUGAAGGAACUGUGGAAAAUCCAAGUUCUUCAGCUUCUGAAUCAAAUACGAGUACUUCCACUGUAAACAGAAUACAUCCAAAUACUGCCAGCACAGUUGUGACCCCGGCAGCAGUUCUUCCUGGGUUAGCACAGGUUAUCACUGCUGUAUCAGCUCAGCAGAAUUCCAAUUUGAUCCCCAAAGUCCUCAUCCCUGUUAAUAGCAUUCCUACUUACAAUGCUGCAUUGGAUAACAACCCCCUUUUGCUUAACACCUACAACAAAUUCCCUUAUCCGACAAUGUCAGAAAUUACUGUUCUUUCUGCCCAAGCAAAAUAUACAGAGGAACAGAUCAAGAUAUGGUUUUCAGCCCAACGUCUAAAACAUGGUGUCAGCUGGACUCCCGAGGAAGUCGAGGACGCGAGGAGAAAACAAUCCAACGGAACGGUGCACACUGUGCCUCAGACCAUAACUGUCGUCCCCGCCCACAUUUCCACAGGGAGUAAUGGUUUACCAUCCAUCUUACAGACAUGCCAAAUAGUUGGCCAGCCGGGUCUGGUCCUUACCCAAGUGGCUGGCACGAAUACCUUGCCAGUAGCAGCACCUAUAGCCUUGACAGUGGCAGGGGUUCCAAAUCAAACAAACGCACAGAAAAGUCAGCUCCCGGCGGCUCAGCCUACUGCAGAGACCAAGCCAGCAGCAGCAGGAGCCCCAUCCUCUCAGCUUGUAAAAAAUGAGACUGCAGGGGCGAACCCGGAUGCGUUCGGCGUUCGGGCAAAAAAGACUAAAGAGCAACUGGCGGAAUUAAAAGUUAGUUACCUAAAGAAUCAGUUUCCCCACGAUUCCGAAAUUAUCAGGCUGAUGAAAAUCACAGGGCUGACAAAAGGAGAGAUUAAAAAAUGGUUUAGUGACACAAGGUACAACCAGAGAAAUUCAAAGAGUAAUCAGUGCUUACAUCUCAACAAUGAUUCCUCCGCCACUAUUAUCAUAGACUCCAGUGAUGAAACCACGGAAUCCCCAACUGUUGUCACUUCACAGCAGAAACAAUCCUGGAAUCCUUUUCCAGACUUUACUCCCCAAAAGUUUAAAGAGAAGACGGCAGAGCAGCUUCGUGCCCUACAGGCGAGUUUUCUCAACAGCUCUGUACUUACAGAAGAAGAAUUAAAUAGGUUAAGAGCGCAAACCAAACUUACCAGAAGGGAAAUUGAUGCUUGGUUUACAGAGAAGAAGAAAUCAAAAGCUUUAAAGGAAGAGAAAGGAGAAAUAGAGGAAAGCAAUGCAGGUAGUUCCAAAGAAGAAACUGGAGAAACUUCUCCUGGAGAUGAGUCUAGUGCACCUAAGUCAGGGAGUACGGGCAAAAUAUGUAAAAAAACACCCGAGCAGUUGCACAUGCUUAAAAGCGCGUUUGUCCGAACACAGUGGCCGUCGCCAGAAGAGUAUGACAAGUUGGCUGAAGAAAGCGGGCUUGCUAGAACAGACAUAGUUAGUUGGUUUGGGGACACCCGUUAUGCUUGGAAAAAUGGAAACUUAAAAUGGUACUACUACUAUCAAAGCGCCAAUUCAAGCAGUAUGAACGGUCUGUCUUCUCUUAGGAAACGGGGGAGAGGGAGACCCAAAGGAAGGGGAAGAGGAAGACCUCGCGGGCGGCCCAGAGGAAGCAAGAGAAUGAACAACUGGGACAGGGGGCCGUCCCUCAUCAAAUUCAAAACUGGAACUGCAAUACUGAAGGAUUAUUACCUGAAGCACAAAUUUCUUAACGAGCAGGACCUCGAUGAACUUGUUAACAAAUCACAUAUGGGCUACGAGCAGGUCAGAGAAUGGUUUGCUGAAAGACAGAGAAGAUCAGAGUUAGGUAUAGAAUUAUUUGAGGAGAAUGAGGAGGAAGAUGAAGUUAUUGAUGAUCAGGAAGAGGAUGAAGAAGAAACAGAUGACAGUGACACUUGGGAACCCCCACGACAUGUGAAGCGGAAGCUUUCUAAAUCAGAUGACUGAAAUGAAAGAAUUCAAAAACGAAAAUAAAAAGAAGGGGAAAAGUAUACCGAAGGAAAGACUUACCACAGGGGUGAAGAUUGCUCAGUUUUAGGAAACUAGCUGCCUAAAACGUUGGAGGAGAAUCAAUUCUUCAACUCCAGAUGUCUGGUUUACUGUGAAUGGGCUCAAUCUUUGAUGACACUGAAAACGUUUGGGGGCAUACACAAUCUCAAAAAAUAGGAUCCAAUACCCAAAAACAGUGGGACUCAAUGUUGUGUCAAUGUUAAACUGCUGCAGAUGGCAGAAGUCUUGCAGCGCCCACAGGACACUAAUUAAAACAAGUUGUAAGAAGUCACAUUUCAAUGCAGUGCAUUUUUAUUCUGAUAUGAUGGAGACAUUCUGAUUCUUAGACUUUCUGAGGGGGUUUAAUGACCACUAGAACUUGUCCUCAUAUUCUGUUCAGCUUAAUACUGUAUGUCUCAUAAGAUGGGCCUUAUUGCCUGUAUUCUUUGAUAUAUGAUUAAUUAAGAUUAUAGCUUUGAGUGACCAAACAUUUUACAGAGUAAAACUUGUUUGAAGCAGGAAAAAGAAAAAUCUGAUUUAUUUCUAUGUCUCAUUUCUCAGGCCCUGCACUAAGAUUAAGGAGUUGUGCAUGGGUUUAUGUAAUUUCAACGUAAGUGAAAAACAGGCUGUGGACAUAUUGGAGCAAGAAGGUUUUGUGGUAUCGUUGGCGCUUAACGAUUGAAUCUUUCAUUGAACACAUUCAUGGAUACCACUAUUACUACUUGUAAUACUCUGUUACUUUUUUUCAUUAGAAACUGAAUUAGCUUUUUCUUAAACCGAACAUAAUCAGUACUGAAGAAGGGAAAGAAACUGGCAUAAGAAUUUGGAUAGGGUGAAACUCUGAAAUAAAUAUUGUACCAAAAAUGUGAAAAGGAACCAUGUAGUAAAUAUUAACUUAGUGUUUUCUUACAAUCGUAUAGAAAUCAGAAAUUUUGUACAGGUGUCAGAUCAGAAUUUUCAAGAAUUAUCUUUUGGUGAAAUUCUACUUUGUGUAACAACUUCAAUGAAUAAAGAAAAAAAAUCUGACCUGAUCAGAAUGAGUUAAAACUUAGCUUUUCAUUUAUGAACAUGGCAGUGUUCACUGUUAACUGUUGCCAUUUCAGGAGACUGAAAGUUCCUCCUCACUCAAACUUUGUAAAGACCGGUGCUGUUCAUUCGUGUUGAGAAGGACCCUUUCCUUUGUGACUACAGGACCAUUUUUCAAAAUGUGCUUUCUUCAUAGAAGAAAUGUUCAGUUUCAUUAGCUUUGGAUUUUAAAAUGUUUUUCUGAAUGACCAGAUGUAAUGGGCUUGGCCAGUUUAUUUUAUCUAAUUUAAUGAAUAAUAAGUAUUAAGCUCUUGUUUUUACCUAAAUGUUUGUCAUCUAAUGAAAAUGUUAUGAAAAAGCCUUGACUAUGCAUGCUGCUUUCAUUUUUAUAAACUUUUCAUUUUUUAACUAUAGCUUUAUUAGUAAUUCCAAAAUGCUGCAAUUUAGCUUAUUUCUUCAUUCAAACAGCUGGCUUUGUGGGUGGCUUUUUCAUACUACUGUUAACUUUUUUUAAGAGAAGCAAUGUAAAGACAGUAACGAUUUAAUGCACUAAACUGUUCUUUCUUUUACACGUUUAAAAACUUCUUAAAGCACUCUGUAUUAUAAUGAUUAAAUUGCUCCCUUUUUUAAA